RNAcentral lists this long non-coding RNA (4104 nucleotides) under Olea europaea subsp. europaea. The record is from RNAcentral. Lineage: Eukaryota; Viridiplantae; Streptophyta; Magnoliopsida; Lamiales; Oleaceae.
CAAAUCUCAAUCGUUCUUUUUCACCGAAAUCGUUGAAUUGAAAUCGCUCGCAACCUUGCUAUUCGCUUGUGUCGUCCCUGCCUGCUGCCACUGCAUUCUCCAGGCUCCGACAUGAUGUAAUCACACCAGUCCCCGUAGGAAAUUUUCUAUAUAUCUAUCAAGUUGCUCGUACAUUCAGUUAGUACCUUCUCUUAUUGCUGCUGAUUUUUUGGGGUGUUUGAUGAUGUUUCUCAAAUUGGUUUUGGGCUAUCUGGGGAUGGGCAAUCUGGUUUUGCUGUACGGGGGUGGAGAUUGUGCCUUGCGGUGGGUGUAAUUAGUUAUCAGUUAAUUUGGAAAUUUAUUGUAGGCCUGUUUUCGUUUAAUCUUAGUUAGUUGAAAUAAUAUCGGGGAUUUGAUGAUCUUAGAUAGCUUUUGAAGGUGCUUAUUUGGCAUUUUCUAAAGUUCAUUUCAGAGUCAGUUUUGCAUAUAUUUCGAAUAAUUUAUUUAUUCUUUAAACUAGGAUUAUAAAUGAUGCUUAAAUAGUCUUGAAAAUGAGUUUUGGCAACUGAUAUCUUGAAAUACAAUGGAAAUGCAAACUUCCAUUUUUCUGUUGUUUUUGGGCUGUCAUGCUGUUUUCAGCAAUAUUUCAUCUAUAACUAUAAUGGUUUUUGACAAUUUAGUUGGUGGAAAGUCGACUGAGUGGGUGCGUUGGGUAGUAUUUCAAUGAUAGUUAUCGUUUCUAAAGAAAAAUGGGAAAUCAAUGAAAGCAAUCAGAGAAAGAAACUACCUCUUAAAAAAUGAGUAAUUCAUUCUCUGCAAGGUUUUUGUUGUCGUUUUUAUCUUCUCUCUAGCCUGCCGUGCCAAAUCUCUGGCCUUUAAACCACCUUAUGAGCUGCCAGAUUCCGGAACUUCAUCAGGCAUGACUUUCUGAGUUGAUCCAUUAGAUAUAAAUCUGAGUUGAACCCUCUCCAAUGCUGGUUUUUCUUCAUCAAUGUAGAUAUGCAGGAGAUGCUGGCCGAAUCAACCAACAACCUUACUAAUAUGAGGGCCAAGGAGAGCGCCCUCAACGAGAAUUCACAUUGCUCGCAUUAUGGCCAAGCCAAAUUCUACCGUCCAAAGGUUUUAAGGUAAAUUCAUCGUUAUUCAUUCGUCAUUCAUGCGUGUUUCAAUCAAACAAGAGCUUACCGAGAAAAUAGAUCUAGAUUUCAUUGUAGACAAAUACCAUGUUUCAAAUCCUUGUCGAAAAUGACUUGUAAAUGAUGUCCCCUUUUAACGACUUUUUGUUUAUAUAUAAAUUUUAUUACAUUGACUUUCUUAAAAAUCCUGGAACCGUCCAUGGUUGCAAUGGGACGACUUUAAAAAAAUUCAUCUAUGGAUCAUCGCAAAGUAUCCAAAAUCACGUUACUUCAAGAAGUAAACAUGAACAGCUGGAAUUAUCAAUGCUGUGUUAACAAAAGAUCGUGGGUGGGUGGGUGCUUUUGAGGAAUAUUUUUUGAGGCUUGAAAAAAUUUGCAUGGAGAAUAAUUAUCUUCAAAUUGAAGGCUUACAAAGUGUUGAACUAUAUUUUUGCCACCCAAUAUGAUAUCAAAAGUCCAACCGUGUGAUGUGGGGAUAAUAAUAGCUUUCAAGAUGCAUUAGAUGAUUUUAUCAUAGAAUUUUGGAGGGCUAUGAAAUGGAGCAAAUUAACACUACAAGAAAAUGACAUUUUGCAACAUAUAAAAGGCAAUAUUCAUUAAUUGCAUUUUGCUAAAAGUGAUCUAUCACAACAAUCAAUAAGUGUUUAUUGCCACUGAUUAACUUGAUUGAGUGCAAAGUUCUUUUAAUGCAUGUUUUGUUAACGUGUCCUUUUGCAACGUUUAUCGUCCGUUGUAAAUAGUUUACAUAUUUUGCAUUUUUUCAUUGUUCAUUGAGCGCUUACAAAUCUUUCUUCUUGAGCGAUGAUCAUUGGAUGUUGUUAAAUGUUAGCUUUGACAACGGGCAAUGACCGUUGUUGAAAGCGUAUUUUGCAACGUCCAAUGCUCGUUGCAAUAAAAAACCAACCCAAAUUUAAUUUCAAAUCAACCUGACCCCGUUAACUAAAAAUAUUAUAAAAAUUUAAUUUUAAAAAAAUAUAAAAACCCUAAAAUUGAAAUCAAAUUACCUUAUGCCAUUUAGCCACUGUUUUGGCUCCAUUAUAAUGUUAAUACAUUUUUCUCUUUCUUUUUUUUGACCACACAUUCUUUGAUAAAAUAAUAUUACACUUAAAUUCAAAACUUCUCAUUUUUUUUUAACCACACAUUCUUAAAAAAAUUACUAUUCCAAUAUUCAUUUUCCCAAAAUUCAUUAAAAUGGAGCCCAAACAAGGGCUUACGCCUCUGCCUCUCCUCAUUGCUGCUCCUUCAACAAUAAGCUGAAAUGACAUAGAAUACAGCCUCCAAACGGAGAAAUACUAGGGUAUGACCUACGUGAUGUGACUAUUUAAUGAGAAGCCACCACCUCAUUUGAUGGCCCAACUUCACCUAAUGAGAUAAGGCCACUUUGAAACUUGAUUUAGGAUGGUAUGACCGUCCUACCCAAGUAUCUCUCCUCCAAUUGGGGCGAUGGUAAACCCAAGAAACCCAAUAAUCUAUUUUCCAUUCCAGAAUCUUCUCUAAUUUUUUAUUCUAUACUAUAAUAUCUGGUCCGUUUGUUCUGAUCUAUUGGGUUUAGUAGCUUCUGCAAUCACGGGAGGAGGAUGACGUAUCAUCAGUGGCCAAUGUGCUUUGUGAUUCUAUGUGGUCUUGGAUGCGGAUGGAUAAACUUCAUUCGGAGUAAGUUUAUAUAGACUUCAUUCGAAGUAAGUUAUCUACUUAUAAACUUCAUUCUGAGUAAGUUAUCGACUUUUCUAACAUCUUCUAUCAUAUUAUUUCAAUCCACGUCAAACAUGUGCAUAACUCGAAGAGGAACCGAUCUCUAUGUCUAUCGUGUAGUUCUGUGUAAUACUCCGCUUUUGUUUCCUUUUUCUAUUGCUCUGUGUCUGUGAGAUUGGAAGUGAUUCUAGACUUGCAUAAUGAAUUCCAUCUCAAAAAAAUGAUGUGCUAUUCCCAUUUGUUUUGUGGAGCAGAUAAAUCACACCUUAAUAACCUCCUGUUAAGAGACUUUUUGGCGGCUAAAUACAUUAUUUGUCAAUUUCUCUGCUCCAUGCUUCAUGUUUCCCUUUGUUGGUGGGGAGAGGGGUUUAAAGAGGACCAGAUCUGUCAGAUUUUCCAUAUCAAAUCCUUGAUUAUUGAAUUUUCGAAUUUUAUGGAGGUUUCUUUUUUGGCAGCUCCUAGCUAUUAAGCAAUUGGAUAGGAAUGGGCUUCAGGUAACAGAGAAUUUUUGGUAGUCUAUAUAAACUAACUUUUGAAUAUCAGCUUUACAUCAACUCUAAUAUAUCUGUGGCAAAUCCAAGUAAUUUAUUCUUCCUGCUUCUGCUCUCAAUUGCGAGCAUGAACAUGCAUCAGUCGAUUAUGUUUACAUUUUUUCACUUGCUCUUGUUUUGUUUUUCAAAUAAAUUGCCAUUCCCUUUUUUCUGAUAAUCAUUACAUUCAUUUUUGUUGUAAUCUCAUAAUGUAUUUGUAAUACACAAUUAACUCUUUAUACAUGCAUAUUUAUAUAUCUCUAUAUGUAAUAUCUAUAUUGAUUUUCCAGCUCAAUCAAUGCCUAGUAAUUGCACUGAGUUUCAGUAUAGCAAUUUUUCCUCCAGUUAUGGAAAUGGAAUUGAGAGCUUGCAUUUGGGUUUGACAAUCAACCAAACAACACUUAAGCUGGGAGAAAAAGAGGUAAUAUCUUUCUAUUUUAGCAUUUGAAUGCAUAAAUAAAUGUAGGAUUUUUUAUAUAUGAGAUAAAGUCAAUGAUUAAGUACAUUUGGCUGGAAAUUUGUUCAUCCUUGUGUAAAAUGAAUUUGAUAUGUUAUGAGUGCAAAUGAACAGAAGUGAUAGCUCUAUUUUGCAGGACAAAAAGAUUCAUUUAGGCAACCAAGAGUUCGAUCAGAAUAAAACUUAGCUUGUUAUUUGUUGUUAUUGUGGUGUUCUUGGAUUAGAUGAUAGUGACUAGUGAGAAGUUUUCCUCUUAUCAUUUAUUUGGGAGCACAAAGCCUAAAUCAGGAUUAGAUGAUAGCUUACCCAG